AGAACGAACGCUGGCGGCAUGCCUAACACAUGCAAGUCGAACGAGACCUUCGGGUCUAGUGGCGCACGGGUGCGUAACGCGUGGGAAUCUGCCCUUAGGUACGGAAUAACAGUGAGAAAUUACUGCUAAUACCGUAUGAUGUCUUCGGACCAAAGAUUUAUCGCCUAGGGAUGAGCCCGCGUUGGAUUAGCUAGUUGGUGGGGUAAAGGCCCACCAAGGCGACGAUCCAUAGCUGGUCUGAGAGGAUGGUCAGCCACACUGGGACUGAGACACGGCCCAGACUCCUACGGGAGGCAGCAGUGGGAAUAUUGGACAAUGGGCGAAAGCCUGAUCCAGCAAUGCCGCGUGAGUGAAGAAGGCCUUCGGGUUGUAAAGCUCUUUUACCCGGGAAGAUAAUGACUGUACCGGGAGAAUAAGCCCCGGCUAACUCCGUGCCAGCAGCCGC
RNAcentral lists this ribosomal RNA (445 nucleotides) under uncultured bacterium. RNAcentral's name for it is "SSU rRNA". It matches the Rfam family "Bacterial small subunit ribosomal RNA", at positions 26 to 518 of the family's 1533-position model. The record is from RNAcentral.